AACGAACGCUGGCGGCAUGCCUAACACAUGCAAGUCGAACGAGACCUUCGGGUCUAGUGGCGCACGGGUGCGUAACGCGUGGGAACCUGCCCUUAGGUUCGGAAUAACUCCCCGAAAGGGGUGCUAAUACCGGAUAAUGUCUUCGGACCAAAGAUUUAUCGCCUUUGGAUGGGCCCGCGUUGGAUUAGCUAGUUGGUAGGGUAAAAGCCUACCAAGGCGACGAUCCAUAGCUGGUCUGAGAGGAUGAUCAGCCACACUGGGACUGAGACACGGCCCAGACUCCUACGGGAGGCAGCAGUGGGGAAUAUUGCACAAUGGGCGCAAGCCUGAUGCAGCGACGCCGCGUGGGGGAUGACGGCCUUCGGGUUGUAAACUCCUUUCGCUAGGGACGAAGCUUUUUGUGACGGUACCUAGAUAAGAAGCACCGGCUAACUACGUG
Molecule: ribosomal RNA, 439 nt
Filed under: uncultured bacterium
Lineage: Bacteria
Description: partial 16S ribosomal RNA
Rfam family: Bacterial small subunit ribosomal RNA
Source: RNAcentral